Long non-coding RNA from Cryptomeria japonica (Japanese cedar), 1435 nucleotides. RefSeq lists it as uncharacterized. The record is from RefSeq and is a predicted model, not a curated record. Lineage: Eukaryota; Viridiplantae; Streptophyta; Pinopsida; Cupressales; Cupressaceae. The transcript is spliced from 4 exons.
CCUUUCACUUAACCCGAAAGGGGUAGUCACAAUUAUUGUGGACAGAAUUAAAACACUAGAGCUUUCUUGCAAUUAUUGUGUCUCUGAUCAUUUACAAUGGCCGCAAAAGGUAGCAAUUUUGCUUUAAUGUACCUCACAUUAUCAUGGCCACACAGAUCGUGGAUCGAAUCCCCGUAACCACGACACAGGCACCUGCAAGCCACGGCCUCUCUGACGUCUCAGGUUCGAAUCCCCGGACUUACAUGCAAAUUUAUCUGUAAUGUCGUGGCUUUCGGUGAUGGAUGAAAGUUAGAUCUUGCUGGCCUCCAUCGUUCUGCUCAAGUAGAGAUUUUUGACAUUUAGGCACUGCAAUUUCUUCACUAGGCUGUUUUGGACGAGGGUUUGUUCUGCCGUAAAAUUUGACUUGGCCAUUGAGGCUAGAAAAGCUCCUAAGCUGCCAGAAAGUUGUUGGCUUCACAUCCUUAUUGACUGCAUCCAUUAUACCUAAAGAAGAAGAAUAAGAGAUGCAUCAGGUUGUGUUUGAAAAUAUUGAUGACAUGCCUCCUCUAGUGAAGACAUAUGUCAAGACUCCUCCAAAGAUGAAGAGGAAACGUGGAGAUGAGGCUCCUUCAGAGAGGAAAAGUGUGGUGAAGAGGAUCGAUUUUGAUCAUCCAUCAUUAGUUUAGGAUGUUAUAGAUAAUUUUGGGAUACUUGCAUGUCUAGUUGGCAUGUAUAUUUUGUAUAUGGACAUACAUUUACAUAUAUUGACAUAUAUUUUGUUUGAGUUGGCGUUUAUGUCAUUUUUGUAUAUAGACAUACACUUGUAAUUAUUAGACAUUUUGAUAUAUAUAGAAGUUGAGAUUUGACAUAACUUGUUUCUCAUGUGAUGCAGGAACAUCCCCGGUUCAUAGCAAUAUUGCAUCAACCAAAAACAUUUUCCUUUUGUUUGCAGUUUUAGCUUUUCUUUCUGUCUAUCCUGAUUUUGGCUCACCGGAUCCCAUGGAGUUGGAUUCUACUUGAAGACUUGAUCAUCUUUCUUAUUUCCAGACUCCAUCGCAUUUGGAUCAUUUUUCGGCAAUAUAUCGCUAUCAGUUUCCUUGAUAGUUUCUUGUUACCAGGGUGAGAGUUCUUGCUAAUGGUUGCCUAGACCUAUUUUGAUGAUCUAUUGAAACCACUUCCGAAGCUGGCCAAGCCUUGGGCAUUGAUUCCAAUGUUCCUUGGCAUGUGGCCAACCUUUUCCUGCGAUAUACAUUUCAUCCUUUAGAUUUUUCGAAGGAAUCUCUUGGUGGAGGCCGACCUUGUUUAUGUUACACGUUAGGUCUUUUUCUUCGGGUUUUGAUCCCUUUUUGGGCCUAUUGGAUCCUUUGGAUCGAUAUAUAUAAUUGUAAUUGCACAUUAGAAUGUAAUCAAUAGAAAAACCAAGUAGUGAGACUGUGCAUAGAAGAUAGAUCCUAAG